RNAcentral lists this ribosomal RNA (2013 nucleotides) under Salmonella enterica. RNAcentral's name for it is "partial 23S ribosomal RNA". It matches the Rfam family "Bacterial large subunit ribosomal RNA", at positions 911 to 2900 of the family's 2925-position model. The record is from RNAcentral. RNAcentral also lists the same sequence under 2 other names. Lineage: Bacteria; Pseudomonadati; Pseudomonadota; Gammaproteobacteria; Enterobacterales; Enterobacteriaceae.
UGUUUCGGCUAGGGGGCCAUCCCGGCUUACCAACCCGAUGCAAACUGCGAAUACCGGAGAAUGUUAUCACGGGAGACACACGGCGGGUGCUAACGUCCGUCGUGAAGAGGGAAACAACCCAGACCGCCAGCUAAGGUCCCAAAGUCAUGGUUAAGUGGGAAACGAUGUGGGAAGGCCCAGACAGCCAGGAUGUUGGCUUAGAAGCAGCCAUCAUUUAAAGAAAGCGUAAUAGCUCACUGGUCGAGUCGGCCUGCGCGGAAGAUGUAACGGGGCUAAACCAUGCACCGAAGCUGCGGCAGCGACACUGUGUGUUGUUGGGUAGGGGAGCGUUCUGUAAGCCUGUGAAGGUGUGCUGUGAGGCAUGCUGGAGGUAUCAGAAGUGCGAAUGCUGACAUAAGUAACGAUAAAGCGGGUGAAAAGCCCGCUCGCCGGAAGACCAAGGGUUCCUGUCCAACGUUAAUCGGGGCAGGGUGAGUCGACCCCUAAGGCGAGGCCGAAAGGCGUAGUCGAUGGGAAACGGGUUAAUAUUCCCGUACUUGGUGUUACUGCGAAGGGGGGACGGAGAAGGCUAUGUUGGCCGGGCGACGGUUGUCCCGGUUUAAGCGUGUAGGUGUGUGUUCCAGGUAAAUCCGGUUCACUUUAACACUGAGGCGUGAUGACGAGGCACUACGGUGCUGAAGCAACAAAUGCCCUGCUUCCAGGAAAAGCCUCUAAGCAUCAGGUAACAUCAAAUCGUACCCCAAACCGACACAGGUGGUCAGGUAGAGAAUACCAAGGCGCUUGAGAGAACUCGGGUGAAGGAACUAGGCAAAAUGGUGCCGUAACUUCGGGAGAAGGCACGCUGACACGUAGGUGAAGUGAUUUACUCACGGAGCUGAAGUCAGUCGAAGAUACCAGCUGGCUGCAACUGUUUAUUAAAAACACAGCACUGUGCAAACACGAAAGUGGACGUAUACGGUGUGACGCCUGCCCGGUGCCGGAAGGUUAAUUGAUGGGGUCAGCGCAAGCGAAGCUCCUGAUCGAAGCCCCGGUAAACGGCGGCCGUAACUAUAACGGUCCUAAGGUAGCGAAAUUCCUUGUCGGGUAAGUUCCGACCUGCACGAAUGGCGUAAUGAUGGCCAGGCUGUCUCCACCCGAGACUCAGUGAAAUUGAACUCGCUGUGAAGAUGCAGUGUACCCGCGGCAAGACGGAAAGACCCCGUGAACCUUUACUAUAGCUUGACACUGAACAUUGAGCCUUGAUGUGUAGGAUAGGUGGGAGGCUUUGAAGCGUGGACGCCAGUCUGCGUGGAGCCGACCUUGAAAUACCACCCUUUAAUGUUUGAUGUUCUAACGUGGAUCCGUGAUCCGGGUUGCGGACAGUGUCUGGUGGGUAGUUUGACUGGGGCGGUCUCCUCCUAAAGAGUAACGGAGGAGCACGAAGGUUGGCUAAUCCUGGUCGGACAUCAGGAGGUUAGUGCAAUGGCAUAAGCCAGCUUGACUGCGAGCGUGACGGCGCGAGCAGGUGCGAAAGCAGGUCAUAGUGAUCCGGUGGUUCUGAAUGGAAGGGCCAUCGCUCAACGGAUAAAAGGUACUCCGGGGAUAACAGGCUGAUACCGCCCAAGAGUUCAUAUCGACGGCGGUGUUUGGCACCUCGAUGUCGGCUCAUCACAUCCUGGGGCUGAAGUAGGUCCCAAGGGUAUGGCUGUUCGCCAUUUAAAGUGGUACGCGAGCUGGGUUUAGAACGUCGUGAGACAGUUCGGUCCCUAUCUGCCGUGGGCGCUGGAGAACUGAGGGGGGCUGCUCCUAGUACGAGAGGACCGGAGUGGACGCAUCACUGGUGUUCGGGUUGUCAUGCCAAUGGCACUGCCCGGUAGCUAAAUGCGGAAGAGAUAAGUGCUGAAAGCAUCUAAGCACGAAACUUGCCCCGAGAUGAGUUCUCCCUGAGACUACGAGUCUCCUGAAGGAACGUUGAAGACGACGACGUUGAUAGGCCGGGUGUGUAAGCGCAGCGAUGCGUUGAGCUAACCGGUA